RNAcentral lists this ribosomal RNA (372 nucleotides) under uncultured organism. Its description in RNAcentral is "bacterial SSU rRNA". It matches the Rfam family "Bacterial small subunit ribosomal RNA", at positions 526 to 896 of the family's 1533-position model. The record is from RNAcentral.
CGUAGGUGGCAAGCGUUGUCCGGAAUUAUUGGGCGUAAAGCGCGCGCAGGCGGUUCCUUAAGUCUGAUGUGAAAGCCCCCGGCUCAACCGGGGAAGGUCAUUGGAAACUGGGGAACUUGAGUGCAGAAGAGAAGAGCGGAAUUCCAUGUGUAGCGGUGAAAUGCGUAGAGAUGUGGAGGAACACCAGUGGCGAAGGCGGCUCUUUGGUCUGUAACUGACGCUGAGGCGCGAAAGCGUGGGGAGCAAACAGGAUUAGAUACCCUGGUAGUCCACGCCGUAAACGAUGAGUGCUAAGUGUUAGAGGGUUUCCGCCCUUUAGUGCUGCAGCUAACGCAUUAACGCACUCCGCCUGGGGAUACGGCCGCAAGGCUG